Molecule: microRNA, 25 nt
Filed under: Canis lupus familiaris (dog)
Lineage: Eukaryota; Metazoa; Chordata; Mammalia; Carnivora; Canidae
Description: cfa-miR-8872
Source: miRBase by way of RNAcentral
UUCUGGGUUGUGGCGUCCGAGGAGC